This 246-nucleotide ribosomal RNA is filed under the name uncultured Lactobacillus sp. Its description in RNAcentral is "partial 16S ribosomal RNA". It matches the Rfam family "Bacterial small subunit ribosomal RNA", at positions 116 to 354 of the family's 1533-position model. Lineage: Bacteria; Bacillati; Bacillota; Bacilli; Lactobacillales; Lactobacillaceae. The record is from RNAcentral.
CGUGGGUAACCUGCCCAAGAGAUCGGGAUAACACCUGGAAACAGAUGCUAAUACCGGAUAACAACAGAUGAUGCCUAUCAACUGUUUAAAAGAUGGUUCGGCUAUCACUCUUGGAUGGACCUGCGGUGCAUUAGCUAGUUGGUAGGGUAACGGCCUACCAAGGCGAUGAUGCAUAGCCGAGUUGAGAGACUGAUCGGCCACAUUGGGACUGAGACACGGCCCAAACUCCUACGGGAGGCAGCAGGC